RNAcentral lists this ribosomal RNA (424 nucleotides) under uncultured bacterium. RNAcentral describes it as "bacterial SSU rRNA". It matches the Rfam family "Bacterial small subunit ribosomal RNA", at positions 355 to 776 of the family's 1533-position model. The record is from RNAcentral.
UAAGGAAUAUUGGUCAAUGGAGGCAACUCUGAACCAGCCAUGCCGCGUGCAGGAUGAAGGCCCUAUGGGUCGUAAACUGCUUUUAUACCAGAGAAAACCCUUCCACGUGUGGAAGGCUGAUAGUAUGGUAAGAAUAAGCAUCGGCUAACUUCGUGCCAGCAGCCGCGGUAAGACGAAGGAUGCAAGCGUUAUCCGGAUUCAUUGGGUUUAAAGGGUGCGUAGGCGGACUUGUAAGUCAGUGGUGAAAUCUCUUUGCUUAACAAAGAAACUGCCAUUGAUACUGCAGGUCUAGAGUAUAGAUGACGUUGGCGGAAUAUGACAUGUAGUGGUGAAAUACUUAGAUAUGUCAUAGAACACCGAUUGCGAAGGCAGCUAACGAAACUAUAACUGACGCUGAGGCACGAAAGUGCGGGGAUCAAACAGG